GGCUUCAUUUUCUUAUAAAUUUUAUUGUCCCAUAGAGUUCUUAUAUUGUGGUAUCAAAGUUCAGGGUCUGUUCUCCUUCCAACAGCCAUCAAGAUCUGGGUCUGUUCUCGGGUCCUAUAAAAAAAAUUUAUGAAUUUUAUUUUAAAGAUCUGCGACAUAUUUAUUUAUUUUUUAAAAGGGCUGGAAUACUAUUUGAAUAAAUAAAAAAAAUUAAAGAAAAAAGGAGAAGGCCGAGGCCCUCC
This 242-nucleotide long non-coding RNA is filed under the name Elaeis guineensis (African oil palm). RNAcentral's name for it is "long non-coding RNA (EGUI_LNC076645)". Lineage: Eukaryota; Viridiplantae; Streptophyta; Magnoliopsida; Arecales; Arecaceae. The record is from RNAcentral.